GCUUGUGCCCAGGCCAGCCUGCAUGUGCUCAACCUCGUCGGAUCUUAGACGCUAAGCAGGGUCGGGCCUGGUUAGUACUUGGAUGAGAGAAGAAGAAAAAACGUUUUGGAAUUCUGUCCUGUCUACCAGUG
This 131-nucleotide ribosomal RNA is filed under the name Erinaceus europaeus (western European hedgehog). The record is from RNAcentral. Lineage: Eukaryota; Metazoa; Chordata; Mammalia; Eulipotyphla; Erinaceidae.